This 2152-nucleotide long non-coding RNA is filed under the name Homo sapiens (human). Its description in RNAcentral is "HSALNT0305418". The record is from RNAcentral. Lineage: Eukaryota; Metazoa; Chordata; Mammalia; Primates; Hominidae.
CUUGCCAGGACCUGGCUUUGGGGAACAGCAGCGCCCUGGAGCCACCAGGCACGCAGACAUUAGGGAGCCGCAUCCCACACGAGACGGUGUGGGGAGAGCGGCAGGCGGUCCCAUCGCAGACCCAGAAGCUCCUGCCAGAGCUCCCUCAGGUUUUCCCAUCCGCAGCCCCAAUAAACGCUUGUUGGAGAGCUAACUUUCAGUUGAUGAGUAUUUACUGAACGCCUACUCUGUCCCAGGUGCUAUGCUAAGAUGACAGAGACCUGAGGAAAUUGCCUUUGGCAGCCCCAGACCCACAUAAAGCCAGGGUGCUAUGAUAGCACCCCCUCUCAGGAGGCCCAGAAAGAUGACUGAGACUAGGGUUAAAGAAAUAAGAGACUUGCAUAAUCACAUAUUUAGCAAACCUAUUGGAUGGCUGACACUAGCAACUGCAGAAUGUAUGGUGGAUGAUAUUGCAAAUUGUGAUAAAUUAUAUGGUAAUAUAUAAUGAGGGACCGGGCCAAGCCUGGAGUAUUAAUGCAUUAGCUUGAGUCAGAUCAGCCAUCAUUUUUGCAGGUCAAAUACAUUUGAAUAUCAACAAUGUUGUGAGAUUCAAGUUAAUAGACAUCUGUUGGUUUUGCUGUCCAGUCUUCAUUCCCCCUUCUUCUGGCAUAAGAACCUCCUUUCCCGGAUUCUUAGACCAUGUAACUUGGGUGGGGCUUUCUCCAUGAGCAACUGCAGGAGUGAGCACAUGACCCAGGCCUGGAUAAAGAGCUUCACCCCAUCCUCCAACCAACUAACCACAGUGAUUUCUUCAGGGAUGGGCACAGGACUCAACCUGGACCAAUAGGGGUGGCACCAGCAAAACCUAUGUGUUGGCAUUAUGAUCAAGCUAAAAGGAAGAUGGUAGCCUUUUCUACAGCAUGAGGAGAUCCUGGCUGAGAAUGAAGCCAACUUGGCCGGGGAGAACCAAGAGAUAGAGUGGACAAAAUCCUGAUAUCAUCAUGUAGCACCUAGAUACAGCUGUGACUGACGCCUCUCUCUCUCUCUUCUCCUGCCCCGCACCCUCACCCCCUUCCCAUAUAUUUCAACUGUUUAAAUCAAUUUCCAUAACUUGUAACUGAAAGAGCCCUGACUUAUACUUAGGGAAGUCUCUCUGGUGAAGUGAUCUUUGAGCUGAAGGGGCUGAUUUGGGGCCAGGAGUGAGGGUAGGGGAUGGUGAGGGGGAAGGAGAGUUCUGGGAAGGAAGUGAGAAAUUGGCUACCCCUGCGUGUCUGGGUCUAAGGUCUUCACCACAUGACUACACAAGUGCAAUAAACUUGCUCUGCCCCGUUGCGGUGUUGAAUAAACCAAACAAAACGAUCUGCCCUCUCGUGAAUGUCAGCUUUACUGGGAGCUGAGCUAAUGUAUUAUUGAUGAGGCAUAAAUAAUGGGACAAGCAUGAUUUCCUAUUCAGUCCAGAAGUACAAAGGUAUAACACUAACAUUUUAAUGAGGUUUCUAUGGCCCAGGCUCGCUGUUUACACUCUGGAAAUGUGGACUGGCUUUCUCAGGAAAGCAGGCUUUUCUUUACUUUUCUUAUUUCUCUCCUCCAUUUGUCAGCAUCCUUUUGAAUAUUUAUAUAAAUUAUUAUAAUUAACACAGAUCGAAUAAAAGAGAGCAAAUAAGAACCAUGCCUGAAAGGCACUGUUACUAGUCUUCCCAAGGCCUUAUCUUCACUGGAUGGAGCAAAGAAAGGUCAGGUGUACCCCCACCUCCCAGAGACUCCCCACAUUUCUGCCUGAUAAGGCCUUUGAAACAAAGACAAGAAUGUUGACAGCAGACAAAUCUAGUUUCAAUAGUCCUCACUCAAACUGGCUGAAACAGCAAUUAAGUUGUUUCUUGGCUCACAUAACGAGAGUGCAGACACAGAGCCUGUUUCAGGGUGGACUCAUGCAUGGACCAGCCUCUGUUUGCCUAUGGUUCUCUUGGCUCUGCCCUCCUUGGAGUUGGAUAACACCAGGAUGGUGGCCAGGUGGCUACAGCAGUUCUGCAGCUUCACAUCCACAAUUACCUCCAGAAGAACAGACUGUGGUAUUCUAUCAAAAAUGUUGACACUCGGUUGGGCGCAGUAUGGCUCACACCUGUAGUCUCAGCACUUUGGGAAGCCAAGGAGGGCUGAUCACCUGAGGUCAGGA